This 654-nucleotide ribosomal RNA is filed under the name uncultured bacterium. Its description in RNAcentral is "bacterial SSU rRNA". It matches the Rfam family "Bacterial small subunit ribosomal RNA", at positions 62 to 680 of the family's 1533-position model. The record is from RNAcentral.
UCGAACGAGUUCUCGUUGAAUCUCGGUGCUUGCACCGAGAUUCAACAUGGAACGAGUGGCGGACGGGUGAGUAACACGUGGGUAACCUGCCCUUAAGUGGGGGAUAACAUUUGGAAACAGAUGCUAAUACCGCAUAGAUCCAAGAACCGCAUGGUUCUUGGCUGAAAGAUGGCGUAAGCUAUCGCUUUUGGAUGGACCCGCGGCGUAUUAGCUAGUUGGUGAGGUAAUGGCUCACCAAGGCGAUGAUACGUAGCCGAACUGAGAGGUUGAUCGGCCACAUUGGGACUGAGACACGGCCCAAACUCCUACGGGAGGCAGCAGUAGGGAAUCUUCCACAAUGGACGCAAGUCUGAUGGAGCAACGCCGCGUGAGUGAAGAAGGCUUUCGGGUCGUAAAACUCUGUUGUUGGAGAAGAAUGGUCGGCGGAGUAACUGUUGUCGGCGUGACGGUAUCCAACCAGAAAGCCACGGCUAACUACGUGCCAGCAGCCGCGGUAAUACGUAGGUGGCAAGCGUUAUCCGGAUUUAUUGGGCGUAAAGCGAGCGCAGGCGGUUUUUUAAGUCUGAUGUGAAAGCCCUCGGCUUAACCGAGGAAGCGCAUCGGAAACUGGGAAACUUGAGUGCAGAAGAGGACAGUGGAACUCCAUGUGUAGCG